CACGUAGGGGGCGAGCGUUGUCCGGAAUUACUGGGCGUAAAGGGCGCGCAGGCUGUUAUGCGAGUCUGCUGUGAAAUGUACCGGCUCAACCGGUGCCUUGCGGCGGAUACUGCAUAGCUGGAGUACUGGAGAGGGAAGUGGAAUUCCCGGUGUAGCGGUGAAAUGCGUAGAUAUCGGGAGGAAUACCGAAGGCGAAGGCAGUCUUCCAAGCCGUUAUUGACGCUCAACUGCGAAGGUGUGGGUAUCAAACAGGAUUAGAUACCCGGGUAGU
This 271-nucleotide ribosomal RNA is filed under the name uncultured prokaryote. Its description in RNAcentral is "partial 16S ribosomal RNA". It matches the Rfam family "Bacterial small subunit ribosomal RNA", at positions 524 to 794 of the family's 1533-position model. The record is from RNAcentral.